RNAcentral lists this ribosomal RNA (996 nucleotides) under Tullbergia bisetosa. RNAcentral describes it as "16S ribosomal RNA". The stretch from base 616 to 996 matches the Rfam family "Bacterial large subunit ribosomal RNA", at positions 2046 to 2699 of the family's 2925-position model. Lineage: Eukaryota; Metazoa; Arthropoda; Collembola; Poduromorpha; Tullbergiidae. The record is from RNAcentral.
CCCGAAAAAAAGAGAUUUUUUUUAGUCAACAAAAUUUAUAACGUGGAAUAGUAGUUGAGACUAAGAAUGAAUAGAUAUUAUAGUCGGGCUUUUAAAUAUCUGGUUAGUUGGUUAAAAAAUUUAGUUUGAURUUUAGUUGGUUAYUUAAAUUGGUAGAUUACGGUUAAUUAAAUGUUAUWAUGAAGAGGGAUUAUCUUCUUUAUUUUAAGUGGGCAUAAUUAUAAUAUUUUAUUUGCCUUUAGUAGGUUUAAAAUUAGCUAUCUGAAAGAGUUAGUUAUAUUUCUGGGGUGGUUUACUUAAUUUAUGAAAAUUUGUUAAUAAAGCUUUAUUUAUUUGUUAGAUUUAUAAAUUUAAUAAUUUGAGUAUAAGUAGAUUUUAAAGUUAAAUUAUUGAUAUAUUGUAUAUUAAUUUUAUGAAUUCGACAAAUAUUUAUUUAAUUGUUUAUCAAAAACAUUUCUUUGAGUGAUUAUUCUAAGUAAAGUCUGCUCACUGAUUUAUUAAAGGGCCGCAGUAUUUUGACUGUGCAAAGGUAGCAUAAUCAUUAGUCUCUUAAUUAGAGAAUGGUAUGAAUGGCUAAAUAAUUAAGUUUUUUAUUAAUGUUGGGGUUGAAUUUGAAAUUAAAGUGAAAAUGCUUUAAUAUAUCUAGGGGACGAUAAGACCCUAUAGAUCUUAAUUGUUAGAUGAUUUAAUUGGGGAAAUUAAAGAGUAAUAUUAACCUCUUUAGYAGUAAUUUAUAUUUAAUAAGUAGGCCUGUAAUAGGGGGUUUAAAAUAAGUUACCUUAGGGAUAACAGCGUUAUUAAUUUUGAGAGUUCAUAUCGAUAAAUUAGUUUGCGACCUCGAUGUUGAAUUAUGAAUUCUAUUUGGGGCAGAAUUUAAGAAAAGAAGGUCUGUUCGACCUUUAAAUUCAUACAUGAUUUGAGUUCAAACCGGCGUAAGCCAGGUUGGUUUCUAUCUUUAGAAUAAGGAAGGGAAUUUAGUACGAAAGGAUUGAUUUC